RNAcentral lists this microRNA precursor (95 nucleotides) under Heligmosomoides polygyrus. RNAcentral describes it as "microRNA hpo-mir-10067 precursor". The record is from miRBase by way of RNAcentral. Lineage: Eukaryota; Metazoa; Nematoda; Chromadorea; Rhabditida; Heligmosomidae.
GGCUCGAGCAGUAUUUUUGGGGUCGGAGGAAUUGCGUCGGGUUCUUUGGUGUGGUAGCUGCUGUGAUUCUGCUCUGAAGAGAUGUCAGUUGGCCA